CCUACGGGAGGCUGCAGUGGGGAAUAUUGCACAAUGGGGGAAACCCUGCUGCAGCGACGCCGCGUGAGUGAAGAAGUAUCCCGGUAUGUAAAGCUCUAUCAGCAGGGAAGAAAAUGACGGUACCUGACUAAGAAGCCCCGGCUAACUACGUGCCAGCAGCCGCGGUAAUACGCAGGGGGCAAGCGUUAUCCGGAAUUACUGGGAGUAAAGGGUGCGUAGGUGGUAUGGCAAGUCAGAAGUGAAAACCCAGGGCUUAACGCUGGGACUGCUUUUGAAACUGUCAGACUGGAGUGCAGGAGAGGUAAGCGGAAUUCCUAGUGUAGCGGUGAAAUGCGUAGAUAUUAGGAGGAACAUCAGUGGCGAAGGCUGCUUACUGGACUGAAACUGACACUGAGGCACGAAAGCGUGGUGAGCAAACAGGAUUAGAUACCCGUGUAGUC
This 440-nucleotide ribosomal RNA is filed under the name Escherichia coli. RNAcentral describes it as "bacterial SSU rRNA". It matches the Rfam family "Bacterial small subunit ribosomal RNA", at positions 338 to 795 of the family's 1533-position model. Lineage: Bacteria; Pseudomonadati; Pseudomonadota; Gammaproteobacteria; Enterobacterales; Enterobacteriaceae. The record is from RNAcentral.